RNAcentral lists this ribosomal RNA (253 nucleotides) under uncultured bacterium. RNAcentral describes it as "partial 16S ribosomal RNA". It matches the Rfam family "Bacterial small subunit ribosomal RNA", at positions 524 to 776 of the family's 1533-position model. The record is from RNAcentral.
UACGUAGGGUGCGGGCGUUAAUCGGAAUUACUGGGCGUAAAGCGUGCGCAGGCGGCUUUUCAAGUCAGGUGUGAAAUCCCCGGGCUUAACCUGGGAAUGGCGCUUGAAACUGGAAGGCUUGAGUGUGGCAGAGGGGGGUGGAAUUCCACGUGUAGCAGUGAAAUUCGUAGAUAUUCGGAGGAACACCAGUGGCGAAGGCGGCUCACUGGUCCGGUACUGACGCUGAGGUGCGAAAGCGUGGGGAGCAAACAGG